RNAcentral lists this ribosomal RNA (406 nucleotides) under uncultured bacterium. Its description in RNAcentral is "partial 16S ribosomal RNA". It matches the Rfam family "Bacterial small subunit ribosomal RNA", at positions 30 to 526 of the family's 1533-position model. The record is from RNAcentral.
AUUGAACGCUGGCGGCAGGCCUAACACAUGCAAGUCGAACGAGUGGCGGACGGGUUAGUACUGUCUGGGAAACUGCCCGAUGGAGGGGGAUAACUACUGGAAACGGUAGCUAAUACCGCAUACCAUCGGAUGUGCCCAUAUGGGAUUAGCUAGUAGGGGGGGAAACGGCUCACCUAGGCGACGAUCCCUAGCUGGUCUGAGAGGAUGCCCAGCCACACUGGAACUGAGACACGGUCCAGACUCCUACGGGAGGCAGCAGUGGGGAAUUUUGCACAAUGGGCGCAAGCCUGAUGCAGCCAUGCCGCGUGUGUGAAGAAGGCCUUCGGGUUGUAAAGUACUUUCGGCGGGGAGGCGUUACUCGCAGAAUAAGCACCGGCUAACUCCGUGCCAGCAGCCGCGGUAAUUC